UGGUGGAGCGAUUUGUCUGGUUAAUUCCGAUAACGAACGAGACUCUGGUCUAUUAAAUAGUUCGCCGAUUCCGAUCUGUCGGCGUUAACUUCUUAGAGGGACAAGUGGCUUUUAGCCACGCGAGAUUGAGCAAUAACA
This 138-nucleotide ribosomal RNA is filed under the name uncultured eukaryote. RNAcentral describes it as "partial 18S ribosomal RNA". It matches the Rfam family "Eukaryotic small subunit ribosomal RNA", at positions 1299 to 1458 of the family's 1831-position model. The record is from RNAcentral.